Molecule: ribosomal RNA, 490 nt
Filed under: uncultured bacterium
Lineage: Bacteria
Description: partial 16S ribosomal RNA
Rfam family: Bacterial small subunit ribosomal RNA
Source: RNAcentral
AGUGAACGCUGGCGGCAGGCCUAACACAUGCAAGUCGAACGGCAGCACAAGAGAGCUUGCUCUCUGGGUGGCGAGUGGCGGACGGGUGAGGAAUGCAUCUGAAUCUGCCCAUUUGCGGGGGAUAACCCCGGGAAACCGGGACUAAUACCGCAUACGACCUACGGGGGAAAGCAGGGGAGCUUCAGACCUUGCGCAGAUGGAUGAGCCGAUGCCGGAUUAGCUAGUUGGUGGGGUAAAGGCUCACCAAGGCGACGAUCCGUAGCUGGUCUGAGAGGGUGAUCAGCCACACUGGAACUGAGACACGGCCCAGACUCCUACGGGAGGCAGCAGUGGGGAAUCUUGCGCAAUGGGCGCAAGCCUGACCCAGCCAUGCCGCGUGUGUGAAGAAGGCCUUCGGAUUGUAAAGCACUGUUGUUGGGAAAGAACAGCAGCCGGUUAAUACCCGGUUGUCAUGACGGUACCCAAAGAGUAAGCCCCGGCUAACUUCGUG